This 297-nucleotide ribosomal RNA is filed under the name Enterobacter hormaechei. RNAcentral's name for it is "partial 16S ribosomal RNA". Lineage: Bacteria; Pseudomonadati; Pseudomonadota; Gammaproteobacteria; Enterobacterales; Enterobacteriaceae. The record is from RNAcentral.
AAAUUGAAGAGUUUGAUCAUGGCUCAGAUUGAACGCUGGCGGCAGGCCUAACACAUGCAAGUCGAACGGUAACAGGAAGCAGCUUGCUGCUUYGCUGACGAGUGGCGGACGGGUGAGUAAUGUCUGGGAAACUGCCUGAUGGAGGGGGAUAACUACUGGAAACGGUAGCUAAUACCGCAUAACGUCGCAAGACCAAAGAGGGGGACCUUCGGGCCUCUUGCCAUCGGAUGUGCCCAGAUGGGAUUAGCUAGUAGGUGGGGUAACGGCUCACCUAGGCGACGAUCCCUAGCUGGUCUG